Molecule: ribosomal RNA, 400 nt
Filed under: uncultured bacterium
Lineage: Bacteria
Description: bacterial SSU rRNA
Rfam family: Bacterial small subunit ribosomal RNA
Source: RNAcentral
UCGAGGAUCUUUAGCAAUGGGCGAAAGCCUGACUAUGCGACGCCGCGUGAGGGAUGAAGUAUUUCGGUACGUAAACCUCUUUCGAUGGGGAGGAAACCUCCGAUUAACUUUCGGAGCUGACAGUACCCAGAGAAGAAGCCACGGCCAACUCCGUGCCAGCAGCCGCGGUAAUACGGGGGUGGCGAGCGUUACUCGGAUUUAUUGGGUGUAAAGGGCAGGUAGGUGUCCUACCAAGUUGGAAGUGAAAUCCUUUGGCUCAACCAAAGAACUGCUUCCAAAACUGGCAGGAUUGAGGCUGGAAGAGGAGAGCGGAAUUCCCGGUGUAAGGGUGAAAUCUGUAGAUAUCGGGAGGAACACCAGUGGCGAAAGCGGCUCUCUGGUCUAGCCCUGACGCUGAGCU